AGCGAACGCUGGCGGCAGGCCUAACACAUGCAAGUCGAACGAACUCUUCGGAGUUAGUGGCGGACGGGUGAGUAACACGUGGGAACGUGCCUUUUGGUUCGGAAUAACUCAGGGAAACUUGUGCUAAUACCGAAUGUGCUCUUCGGGGGAAAGAUUUAUCGCCAUUAGAGCGGCCCGCGUCUGAUUAGCUAGUUGGUGAGGUAACGGCUCACCAAGGCGACGAUCAGUAGCUGGUCUGAGAGGAUGACCAGCCACACUGGGACUGAGACACGGCCCAGACUCCUACGGGAGGCAGCAGUGGGGAAUCUUGCGCAAUGGGCGAAAGCCUGACGCAGCUAUGCCGCGUGAAUGAUGAAGGUCUUAGGAUUGUAAAAUUCUUUCACCGGGGACGAUAAUGACGGUACCCGGAGAAGAAGCCCCGGCUAACUUCGUG
RNAcentral lists this ribosomal RNA (433 nucleotides) under uncultured bacterium. RNAcentral's name for it is "partial 16S ribosomal RNA". It matches the Rfam family "Bacterial small subunit ribosomal RNA", at positions 29 to 507 of the family's 1533-position model. The record is from RNAcentral.